This 22-nucleotide non-coding RNA is filed under the name Petromyzon marinus (sea lamprey). Its record names the gene pma-miR-29c. Lineage: Eukaryota; Metazoa; Chordata; Hyperoartia; Petromyzontiformes; Petromyzontidae. RNAcentral also lists the same sequence under 19 other names. The record is from miRBase by way of RNAcentral.
UAGCACCAUUUGAAAUCAGUGU